AAGUCGAACGAAGGCCCGGAGCUUGCUCCGGAUCCCUUAGUGGCGAACGGGUGAGUAACGCGUGGGAAUCUACCUAAAAAUGGGGAAUAACUAUUGGAAACGAUAGCUAAUACCGCAUAAUCCCUUCGGGGCAAAGGCUUCGGCCGUUUUUAGAUGAGCCCGCGUUAGAUUAGGCUGUUGGUGAGGUAAUGGCUCACCAAACCUACAAUCUAUAGCUGGUCUGAGAGGAUGAUCAGCCACACUGGGACUGAGACACGGCCCAGACUCCUACGGGAGGCAGCAGUGGGGAAUAUUGGACAAUGGGGGAAACCCUGAUCCAGCAAUGCCGCGUGAGUGAUGAAGGCCCUAGGGUUGUAAAGCUCUUUCAGAAGUGAAGAUGAUAACGGUAACUUCAGAAGAAGCUCCGGCUAACUCCGUGCCAGCAGCCGCGGUAAUACGGAGGGAGCUAGCGUUGUUCGGAAUUACUGGGCGUAAAGGGCGUGUAGGCUGUAUGGUUAGUCAGAGGUGAAAUCCCUAAGCUCAACUUAGGAACUGCCUUUGAUACUAUCACACUAGAGAUCGAGAGAAGUUAGCGGAAUUCCAAGUGUAGAGGUGAAAUUCGUAGAUAUUUGGAAGAACACCUGUGGCGAAAGCGGCUAACUGGCUCGCUUCUGACGCUGA
This 660-nucleotide ribosomal RNA is filed under the name uncultured marine bacterium. Its description in RNAcentral is "bacterial SSU rRNA". It matches the Rfam family "Bacterial small subunit ribosomal RNA", at positions 59 to 749 of the family's 1533-position model. The record is from RNAcentral.